UGUAACAACUUGAAUAUGCAACAUUCUUUAAGCUGACUGUGAUUCAGUUUAAUUGAUUUUAAGUAUUUGUUGCCAAAUGUAGGUUUAAAUGGAGGGGAUUCUAUUUUUAAAAGUGCUGCGCAGUAGUGGUGCUAGAUUUUCUAUAUAUAUACAUACACCCUUCAGACAUGCUGAUGUGUUAUUAAGUUUACUGUUAUUGUGUAUGUGAAAAAUGAUUUCUUUAAAUUUCUUUUAUCGCACAAUCAUACAAUUUUUUUUUUUUAUCAUUUUGGAUAUUUUAGCGUACGUUUACAAUUUUCAUUUUAUUGUACUAUGUUUAUGAUUUUGAAUUUUUUGUUAUGGAGGUUAUUAAUGCCAUGUGUGAAACAGUUUGCCAAUGCUUGGAGAGUCAGGAUUUUAAAAGCUUAAAGAGCACAUUUUUCUUCUCUUUUUUUUUUUUUUAAUUUUAGGGUUCAUACAUUAUUUUCCAUAUCUGAGUUGUACCUCUACAUGUAGGGUUGUGUAAGUUGAUUUUUUAUUAUGCUCUGCCUGCACAGAAAUUUCUCAAGUAUCUUUGGGUAAAGAAAAAAAAAAGGAGAAAUUUCAAAAACUGAUAAAUUCCCCUAUCCUGGAAGUUACAAAUAAGAUGGUAAUGAGUAUUAUAGACUAAUACAGUAAUGCUGGGCAUUUUUUGAUUUAGAUGUGUUAUAAUGACAAAAUUAUACAGCAAUGUACUACAGUAAUAAUCCUUGAUCAAAAGAAUUCAUGAGUGGCAAUUUUUAUUUUUUUAAAUGUUGAAUGCUUUGUGUACGUCAAGACUACACACGCAUAUAUGUUAUCCAAUAGUGUUUUUUUUUUAUUAUUAUUGCAGUGGUUUUUUGAGAAAAAAAAAUCAGUUUGUUAGUGUGCCAGAUUAUGAACACACUUAGCCUAAGUGUUUUGUUUGUUUACAUUUUAAAAAAAAAUUAUUUCACAGUAAAACUUGUCUAAUCCAGACACCACUGGUUCCUUAGAAAUUAAGCAAAUAGACAACACUCUGGAUUAAAAACCUUCUAUUAAGCAAUUAAAAAUAAUGAAAGGGAUUAAAAAUUUACAUCAUAGUGUCAAGAUUUCAGAAUACACAACAUUAGGACUAGACAAGUUCUACUGUAGGUGAAGUAUUUCCCUCUAACAGUUAAAAUCUAUACAGAAGGUAAAACCGGUUUAGGGACCCUGAACUUCAUGUUUUUAUUAACCAUCAGAAACCACUCUUACAAAUAUGUGUGAAGAGAAUUCAGUGUUUUGUGUAGGAAUUGAUAUUUUAUCCCCCAGUCAUGGCCAGUUUAAUUUCAUUUUUCUUCGUCACUGAAGCACUUUUUCUCUAAUCGUAUGUUGUAAAGCAGCUUAAGUUUUCACCCCAACCAUUCAAUCAUGCAUGAAUAUGAAACCCUUAUAGCAAUGAACAAAACUUUUUUUAAAACAAUUUUUAAAAAUGGGGAAAAAAAUGCAGACAUUUUUUAACCAUGAAUUUAGCAUGUAGUAAAUUGAACAAACAAGUUGAACAAAAAUCCUUCAGCAUUGUAAACAGGUCUUGUUGUAGACUAUAAUGAUUGUGUUCAGGUUAUUUAUAGAGUCAUGUUGUUUGUGAAGCCAUGUCCUAGACAUGAGUCUCUGUGUUCUCUUGUUAUAGUAGAUAGUUAUAGUAGUUGUUGAUAAUUAGAAUAAUUUAAUUGAUAGUGCUAUAUUUAAUUGCAUAUAUAUUCUUGCUUUUGUAUGAAUUGUGUCCCUCCCAACAGCCAGUCCCCCUCUCUGAAACCCCUUUAAGGGUAAAGGUCCUUUUCUACUCAAACUAUAACAUAUGAGGAAAAAUUGGAGUAAAAUCAUUGUUGAUAAAGAAUACUUUCAAAGAGUUGCCUCCCUUUGCAGAGAGGCAUUCCUCCUUAAAUGUAUUUUAAGAAGAGAUACAAAUCAGAAAACCCCUAUCCUUGCAAAUUAUACUUGCUUGUAAAGUGUUUCUUAGAGGACAACCUGUUUGUGUCAUUGGGGGUUGGGGUGAUGAGAAGGAAAAAUCCACAGAGUCUGCAUACUGAAUGAUUGUAUUAUGAGAAUUCUGAGGAAAACAAUAUGUAGACUUUAUGAAAGUUAUUUAUAAGUGGUUAAGACAUGUGCCCUUAUGUUUUCUUGAACUUUCAGUUGGUCCUUAAGAAGGGGCAGGAGAGGGGCACACAUCCUUAAACUGCGGUAAGGAGGCACAGGGGAGGGGCACACAUCCUUAAACUGUACUUGCUAAUUCCUUUUUCUUGAUCUCAUCCUUCCUCUGUGAUUUUAUGCAUUUAGACUGGGAUAUUGUUUUCUUAUCUUGUUUACAUUUGUGGGGGCCCCAGGGGGAUAUUGUAUUUUUAUCUUGUUUUAGGGUUAGUUCAUUCACUUGCAGGGGCCACAGGGGGGAACUUAACGAAUGGCAAGGAAACUUCUAAAAGGGAAAGUCUAAAAUGUACAGAAAAGUAAAAUGUAUUUGAAGAACACUACAAAUUUAUUUUUGAUUCUCAAAGUCUUUACUUUAAUAGGGUACUUCUUAAACAUGCACAAUAGAAAAACAUUAAAAAGAAAAAUAUUGAAGAAAAAAGUUGCUUCCAGAUAGAAUUUUGUAGACUUAAGUUUUAACAUUUUUUUUUUUUUGUUUUAUAAAUUUUAUCUUGCUUGUUUAAAGUGAUUUUCAAUAGAGUAAAAUUAUUUUUUGUUAUAUAUGAAGAAAUUUUUAUGAAGUCAUGUUUACCUGGUUUGGAUAUUUUUUUUUAAUUAGAGUUGACACGUCAUGUAUUGUCAUGAGGAAAACAAAGAACGUCGCUGGGGGUGGGGGUGGGGGUUUCAAGGUACAGACACUGUGUAGUACAAGAUUUCUAUUACAAUAUCCCAAACCGUUCAGUAAAUUAGAGUUUUAAUUUAUUAUUAUUUAUAACACAGAUAUAUAAUAUAAUUAUCUACAUAUGUAUUCUAUAGUGUAGUGAGUAAGUUGUUGUCAUCACAAUUUUGUAUUGUUUCAUUUGAUUUGUGUGUCCUGUUUUGCUGACAUGUUUUCUAUUUCUAUUUUAAAAAUCUGCAUUAUGAUUACAGUUAAACCUCGGUAUCUCAAACAUCGAUAUUUCAAAUACCAUGUUUAUUCUGAAGUGAGAUCCCAGCCACUUUUCCUUUACUUAUUUUAACCUUGUUAUCUCGAAUCUAUGCAUUGCUCGAGACUUGCGAGUUCGAGGUAACGAGGUUUAACUGUACUUGUUAAUUUAUGAAUAGAAAAUAUGUCAGAAAUCAUUUCCCCCGGCUUGUAACGACAGCUGUGUUCAGUAAACUAUUGGCUUCUUAAAACUCAACAAUGCAUGUGAAUAUUUCAAAUUUUAUAUAUACGUGUCAGAUAGCAACACAUUUCUAACAUAAAUAUAACAUCUUUGUUGAUUAAAUAUCUCUAACGUUCUCCAGUUAUUAUGAUUCUCUAGUGUAUUGUUUGCUGGUGUGUACUUGAUGAUGAUAUUUAAUGACAUCACUAACAAGUCUAUAAUUUAUUAUUACCAAUACAUAAUGUUAUAUGUGUAAAGCCUCUAUGCAACAAAUGAAAUAAGGUCCACGGACCCUCUGAUUAGAGAGAUAAUUCUAAUUGAGAUUAAAGUGUAUUAUUCCUUUAUAAAUUUUUCAACUUAAAAUGCCAUUUCUGUCAAAUUUUACCUUGCAAGGUGUAUUAAAAUUUAAUUAUAGAAAAGAUUUCUGAAAAAUUGUGUGAUAUAAAAUAAUAAAUUUAUAUGACAAUGAACCUUAAAGAAAACACAUGUUCUUGAAUGGUUCACUUGAAAUACUACACUCAAUGAAUUUUGGUGUAUCCUUCAAUUUAGAAAACGUGACUGGCUUGAGCGACAUUAUCGAGAGGGGUUUGUUUUUAUGCGUCUGAUUUUGUUUUUAUGUGUUUUCUCACUGUUUUAAUUCCGUCCAUUAGUUUCAAUUAUCAUUCGAUCACUUUCUGAAACAUAAAGUCAUAAGUAAGGUCAGUAUUUAUUAUUUAUUUUUAGUAAAGUAGGUAACGGAACUUCGUUUAGAGCUAAGUGUCUCUUUUUUGGAACCGGAAUUAUAGCUAACUUUAAAGGUGAACAAUAUUACAUGUCGAUGUUGUCUUCAUGAAGCCAUUUUUAAAUUUUAUAAGAGAUUUCUCUGUUAUUUAUCUAAUUGAACGAAGUUAAUUAGAAUCAAUUUUUAAUUUUUUUUUCUUUGAUUUUUAGCUUUUGAUAUGUAUUCUUGCUUAUGAGCUGUGUCAGUGUGUAGUUAUCUCCCUUUUUUGUACUUCUGUUUUAAAUGCAAUGCCUUUCCUGCAUAACUCUUGACAAAUAAAAAUUAAAUACAUCAUUU
This is a long non-coding RNA of Saccostrea echinata, 4344 nucleotides long. RefSeq lists it as uncharacterized. The transcript is spliced from 2 exons. The record is from RefSeq and is a predicted model, not a curated record. NCBI's taxonomy places the organism in Eukaryota, Metazoa, Mollusca, Bivalvia, Ostreida, Ostreidae.